Molecule: long non-coding RNA, 1267 nt
Organism: Rana temporaria (common frog)
Lineage: Eukaryota; Metazoa; Chordata; Amphibia; Anura; Ranidae
Exons: 2
Source: RefSeq, a predicted model, not a curated record
ACAGGGCACAAAGAUGGUAUUGCUGUAUUCUAUGCACGUAGUAUAAUUGUGACGAAUAUUACUUGUAUAACCUAAUUACUUUUAUAUGAUUGGCUGGGACUAGAGCGUCCCUUGCUUGUAUGAUUUUCUUAUAUACAAGUACGCAGGAGAAAUAAAGCUAGUCUUGAACAAACCAUGAGUGCGUGUGUUUCUGACUGGCAAUGCAUUGCGGACUUUCCAUACAUUCAGAAUAUCCUUAAACCCGGGUCUAGUUGAACUAGCAGCCUAACAGAUGGUGGCAGCGGUGGGAUGGUCGUCUUGCAGAUCCGAUCCACCGGGUCAUACCGGGAGACAAAGUCCUAAUAGAACAACUCGCAGUGAGAAGACAUAUAGGCCCCGUUUACACCAGCCCACACAAAGUAGAAAAAGGUCUCCAGAACGGCUGUACUUACUUCCCAGGGACCACAAUGGAUCCGUGCAUCCCUGAUAAAGACAACCCCCUUUUUUCCCCCUUCCAACUUCAGAGGCACCAACAGAAGAGCAGAAAAGGAGGGACCAACAAGCCACACAACUGGAGGACUGAAUCCAAGGAUUGGAACAGGUCACAGUGCAACUACCUUGAACAUUGUCAAAGACUGACCCCCAAUUUGCUCCCCCAUUUCGGUCCCAGACCACGUCAAACUCCAUAUUGGCCCAAAUUGCAGAAUAUUUUUCUUUGUCACGGAUUGUUACAUGUUGUGUUCUCCUUAUUGCAACCCCAGAAAAAUGAUAUUGAUUUGCGCUUUUGUUAUAUAUCUGAUUGCUAAAAUUACCCUUUGCGCUAUUGGAAGAUUGACAAAACCCUGUGCGAAAAGGGGUGAGAGUGUCAGCAUGGCGCUGUUGACCAUAGAGCAGAAAUGGUAUAAUGAGUGAUUGCGUCGGCUCUAGAGUUAGAGUUAGAGUUCCCCCAUAUGUAUUGAUAGGCUAAUAGUUCCCCUGUACUAAUAAUGCAUUAUAAGGCUUGUUAGAGUUCCCCCUUAGUGAUAAAUGCGUGAUGUUUAUGUACCCUUUUGUCUAGAGCUUUUAGGACAAGUUACAUAGAAACAACCUUGCCAUUUUGUUAUUAUGUUCUAGAUGAAGAAUGAAAAAGAUGGUAUUGCUGUAUUCUAUGCACGUAGUAUAAUUGUGACGAAUAUUACUUGUAUAACCUAAUUACUUUUAUAUGAUUGGCUGGGACUAGAGCGUCCCUUGCUUGUAUGAUUUUCUUAUAUACAAGUACGCAGGAGAAAUAAAGCUAGUCUUGAACAAA